GACGAGGGGUCCAAGCGUUGUUCGGAAUCAUUGGGCGUAAAGCGGGUGUAGGUGGCUUUGUAAGUCAGGAGUGAAAUCCCCGAGCUUAACUUGGGAAGUGCUUUUGAAACUGCAAAGCUUGAGUGUGGGAGAGGAUCGUGGAAUUCCAGGUGUAGUGGUGAAAUACGUAGAUAUCUGGAGGAACACCGGUGGCGAAGGCGGCGAUCUGGCCCAACACUGACACUGAGACCCGAAAGCGUGGGGAUCAAACAGG
RNAcentral lists this ribosomal RNA (253 nucleotides) under uncultured bacterium. RNAcentral describes it as "partial 16S ribosomal RNA". It matches the Rfam family "Bacterial small subunit ribosomal RNA", at positions 524 to 776 of the family's 1533-position model. The record is from RNAcentral.